Molecule: ribosomal RNA, 482 nt
Filed under: uncultured bacterium
Lineage: Bacteria
Description: partial 16S ribosomal RNA
Rfam family: Bacterial small subunit ribosomal RNA
Source: RNAcentral
GAUGAACGCUAGCGGCAGGCCUAAUACAUGCAGGUCGGACGGGAUUCAGGAGCUUGCUUCUGAUGAGAGUGGCGCACGGGUGCGUAACACGUAUGUAACCUACCUUUAUCAGGGGGAUAGCCUCUCGAAAGAGAGAUUAAGCCCGCAUAAAAUCACAGCACAGCAUUGUGUAAUGAUCAAAUAUUUAUAGGAUAAAGAUGGGCAUGCGGAACAUUAGCUAGAUGGCGGGGUAACGGCCCACCAUGGCGACGAUGUUUAGGGGAUCUGAGAGGAUGGCCCCCCAAACUGGUACUGAGACACGGACCAGACUCCUACGGGAGGAAGCAGUAAGGAAUAUUGGUCAAUGGGCGGAAGCCUGAACCAGCCAUGCCGCGUGCAGGAAGACGGCCCUACGGGUUGUAAACUGCUUUUAUACGGGAAUAAACCCAGAUACGUGUAUCUGGCUGAAUGUACUGGAAGAAUAAGGAUCGGCUAACUCCGUG